Molecule: non-coding RNA, 114 nt
Organism: Cinara cedri
Lineage: Eukaryota; Metazoa; Arthropoda; Insecta; Hemiptera; Aphididae
Source: the annotation of a GenBank genome assembly
AUCGCUUCUCGGCCUAUCGGCUAAGAUCAAAUGUGUAGUAUCUGUUCUUGGACAGACACUACUAUCAGGUAUAGCAGAUUUGGCUUUGAGAAUGUGUGCCCAGGCCGACCUCCA